AUCGAAGCCCCAGUAAACGGCGGCCGUAACUAUAACGGUCCUAAGGUAGCGAAAUUCCUUGUCGGGUAAGUUCCGACCCGCACGAAAGGCGUAACGAUUUGGGCACUGUCUCAACGAGAGACUCGGUGAAAUCAUAGUACCUGUGAAGAUGCAGGUUACCCGCGACAGGACGGAAAGACCCCGUGGAGCUUUACUGUAGCCUGAUAUUGAAAUUCGGCACAGCUUGUACAGGAUAGGUAGGAGCCUUUGAAACGUGAGCGCUAGCUUACGUGGAGGCGCUGGUGGGAUACUACCCUAGCUGUGUUGGCUUUCUAACCCGCACCACUUAUCGUGGUGGGAGACAGUGUCAGGCGGGCAGUUUGACUGGGGCGGUCGCCACCUAAAAGGUAACGGAGGCGCUCAAAGGUUCCCUCAGAAUGGUUGGAAAUCAUUCAUAGAGUGUAAAGGCAUAAGGGAGCUUGACUGCGAGACCUACAAGUCGAGCAGGGUCGAAAGACGGACUUAGUGAUCCGGUGGUUCCGCAUGGAAGGGCCAUCGCUCAACGGAUAAAAGCUACCCCGGGGAUAACAGGCUUAUCUCCCCCAAGAGUUCACAUCGACGGGGAGGUUUGGCACCUCGAUGUCGGCUCAUCGCAUCCUGGGGCUGUAGUCGGUCCCAAGGGUUGGGCUGUUCGCCCAUUAAAGCGGUACGCGAGCUGGGUUCAGAACGUCGUGAGACAGUUCGGUCCCUAUCCGUCGUGGGCGUAGGAAAUUUGAGAGGAGCUGUCCUUAGUACGAGAGGACCGGGAUGGACAUACCUCUGGUGUACCAGUUGUCGUGCCAACGGCAUAGCUGGGUAGCUAUGUGUGGACGGGAUAAGUGCUGAAAGCAUCUAAGCAUGAAGCCCCCCUCAAGAUGAGAUUUCCCAACUUCGGUUAUAAGAUCCCUCAAAGAUGAUGAGGUUAAUAGGUUCGAGGUGGAAGCAUGGUGACAUGUGGAGCUGACGAAUACUAAUCGAUCGAAGACUUAAUCAA
This 1012-nucleotide ribosomal RNA is filed under the name Staphylococcus aureus subsp. aureus CIG1750. Its description in RNAcentral is "bacterial LSU rRNA". It matches the Rfam family "Bacterial large subunit ribosomal RNA", at positions 1911 to 2925 of the family's 2925-position model. The record is from RNAcentral. Lineage: Bacteria; Bacillati; Bacillota; Bacilli; Caryophanales; Staphylococcaceae.